This 476-nucleotide long non-coding RNA is filed under the name Nicotiana benthamiana. RNAcentral's name for it is "long non-coding RNA (NBEN_LNC025266)". The record is from RNAcentral. Lineage: Eukaryota; Viridiplantae; Streptophyta; Magnoliopsida; Solanales; Solanaceae.
AUAUCUGACACCAAUAAUGCCAACCAGCAGGGAUUUCUGAAUUCCUGAACCCGUCAAACCCUUCAAAAGGUUACCUCCCAUGAUCAGCGUUAGAAGUGGGAUGGCUCCAUCCCUGCAAUCAUUUGAAUAAGUCUAAGAUGCUAUACACUCAGUGCGCGACCAAGCAGCACAUUUUGACAACUUGGUAGACACAAAUACUAUCAGAUACUAGGUUAGAAGCGGGAUGGCUCCAUCCCUGCAAUCAUUUGAACAAGUCUAAGAUGCUAUAUACUCAGUGCACGACCGAGCAUCGCAGCAUUGUGAUAACUUGGUUGACACAAAUACUAUUAGAUAUUAGCUAACAACUCCAAUCUAAAUUAGCCAUGCCCUAAAAUAUGAUCUUGUGCCAUAUCCAGUAUACUUUACUAUCUGCAGCUAGAAACCAUAUCAUAUAUGGCUCUGCCUAAGGACAUUCUAAAGCCAUUGCAUCGUAUGCA